This 410-nucleotide ribosomal RNA is filed under the name uncultured microorganism. RNAcentral's name for it is "bacterial SSU rRNA". It matches the Rfam family "Bacterial small subunit ribosomal RNA", at positions 509 to 917 of the family's 1533-position model. The record is from RNAcentral.
CAGCAGCCGCGGUAAAACGUAGGGGGCGAGCGUUGUCCGGAAUUACUGGGCGUAAAGCGCGCGCAGGCGGUCCUUUAAGUCUGAUGUGAAAUUCCGCGGCUCAACCGCGGGUGUGCAUUGGAAACUGAGGGACUUGAGUGCGGAAGAGGGGAGCGGAAUUCCCGGUGUAGCGGUGAAAUGCGUAGAGAUCGGGAGGAACACCAGUGGCGAAGGCGGCUCUCUGGUCCGCAACUGACGCUGAGGCGCGAAAGCGUGGGGAGCGAACAGGAUUAGAUACCCUGGUAGUCCACGCCGUAAACGAUGAGUGCUAAGUGUUAGAGGGGAUUGACCCUUUAGUGCUGCAGCUAACGCAUUAAGCACUCCGCCUGGGGAGUACGGCCGCAAGGUUGAAACUUAAAGGAAUUGGCGGG